CCCCUGGAUGACGAUGAAGUCAUCUCCUACAUCCUUGCAGGGUUGGAUAUGGAGUACCAGCCCCUAGCGUCGGCCCUUGACGCCCGCACCGAACCAGUCACCCUCGAAGCUCUCUUUGCUGAGAUGAGCAAUUUUGAUC
Molecule: small nucleolar RNA, 139 nt
Filed under: Hordeum vulgare
Lineage: Eukaryota; Viridiplantae; Streptophyta; Magnoliopsida; Poales; Poaceae
Description: Small nucleolar RNA Z247
Rfam family: Small nucleolar RNA Z247
About the family: Z247 is a member of the C/D class of snoRNA which contain the C (UGAUGA) and D (CUGA) box motifs. Most of the members of the box C/D family function in directing site-specific 2'-O-methylation of substrate RNAs.
Source: RNAcentral